CCUACGGGAGGCAGCAGUGAGGAAUAUUGGUCAAUGGGCGGAAGCCUGAACCAGCCAAGUAGCGUGCAGGAUGACGGCCCUACGGGUUGUAAACUGCUUUUAUAUGGGAAUAAAAUGUUCCACGUGUGGGAUUUUGUAUGUACCAUAUGAAUAAGUAUCGGCUAACUCCGUGCCAGCAGCCGCGGUAAUACGGAGGAUCCGAGCGUUAUCCGGAUUUCUUGGGUUUAAAGGGAGCGUAGGUGGAUUGUUAAGUCAGUUGUGAAAGUGUGCGGCGCAACCGUAAAAUUGCAGUUGAGACUGGCAGUCUUGAGUACAGUAGAGGUGGGCGGAAUUCGUGGUGUAGCGGUGAAAUGCUUAGAUAUCACGAAGAACUCCGAUUGCGAAGGCAGCUCACUGGACUGCAACUGACACUGAGGCUCGAAAGUGUGGGUAUCAAACAGGAUUAGAUACCCUAGUAGUC
Molecule: ribosomal RNA, 460 nt
Filed under: uncultured bacterium
Lineage: Bacteria
Description: partial 16S ribosomal RNA
Rfam family: Bacterial small subunit ribosomal RNA
Source: RNAcentral